CUCCCUCACCCAAGCCAUGUUAGAACUGAAAUAGGAAAAUCAACCCGUCACAACAUGUUUCAAUUGACUCUCGACUUUGUGGAACAAGCUCGAGGCGGCUAAAGAGCAGUUCGAGGGGAGGGGUCGGAGCUAACGCUUCAACAAUAUCGAGAGUGAUACGAGAGAGGAGAAGGCAACCCGUUUUUGUACUAAUCUUGAAUGAAAACUACUCACAUUUUAGGUCCCAAAUCCUUGCGAUGGAGCCGGCAUCGCCGCUCUGGCGGAUAUUUCAAUUGGCGGUCCAAGAGGAGAAUCAAAGGAUACCUGCGUUUGAACACGCACGAACUGGAGAGGGAAUCACCCUUAUUGCCUUCGGAUCUAGACUGUCUCUGACCGGUGGCUUCUCAACCGAGCUUGCUGCCUUCGGUUCUAGACCACCAUUGGCUGACGACCUCCCACCUGGCUUUGGUCCGACGGGUCAGCAUCUCUAUUCCCAUGGAGAGGCAGCCUGAUGAGUUGCUGCCACUGCUGCUUCUGCUACUUCU
This 524-nucleotide long non-coding RNA is filed under the name Eucalyptus grandis. RNAcentral's name for it is "long non-coding RNA (EGRA_LNC001319)". Lineage: Eukaryota; Viridiplantae; Streptophyta; Magnoliopsida; Myrtales; Myrtaceae. The record is from RNAcentral.